This 484-nucleotide ribosomal RNA is filed under the name uncultured bacterium. RNAcentral's name for it is "partial 16S ribosomal RNA". It matches the Rfam family "Bacterial small subunit ribosomal RNA", at positions 46 to 523 of the family's 1533-position model. The record is from RNAcentral.
GCUUAACACAUGCAAGUCGAGCGGUAACAUGACUAGUAGCAAUACUAGUUGAUGACGAGCGGCGGACGGGUGAGUAACACGUAGGAACUUGCCCAGUAGUGGGGGACAACCAAGGGAAACUUUGGCUAAUACCGCAUAUUCUCGAGAGAGGAAAGCUGCCGCAAGGUGGCGCUAUUGGAGAGGCCUGCGUCCGAUUAGCUAGUUGGUAGGGUAAAAGCCUACCAAGGCGAGGAUCGGUAACUGGUCUGAGAGGACGACCAGUCACACUGGGACUGAGACACGGCCCAGACUCCUACGGGAGGCAGCAGUGGGGAAUCUUGGACAAUGGGGGCAACCCUGAUCCAGCGAUGCCGCGUGAGUGAAGAAGGCCUUCGGGUCGUAAAGCUCUUUAGGCUGGGAAGAAGAUCGGUAGUUUAAGAGAUAAUCAAUUUGACUGUACCAGCAGAAUAAGCACCGGCGAACUCUGUGCCAGCAGCCGCCGUAA